RNAcentral lists this ribosomal RNA (393 nucleotides) under uncultured bacterium. RNAcentral describes it as "partial 16S ribosomal RNA". It matches the Rfam family "Bacterial small subunit ribosomal RNA", at positions 523 to 918 of the family's 1533-position model. The record is from RNAcentral.
AUACGGAGGAUGCAAGCGUUAUCCGGAUUUAUUGGGUUUAAAGGGUGCGUAGGCGGUUUGCUAAGCGGGAGGUGAAAUGCCGGCGCUCAACGUCGGAAGUGCCUCCCGAACUGGUGGACUUGAAUGACUCUGCCGUGGGAGGAAUGUGUAGGGUAGCGGUGAAAUGCUUAGAGAUUACACAGAACACCGAUUGCGAAGGCAUCUCACGAAGGGUUGAUUGACGCUGAGGCACGAAAGCGUGGGGAUCAAACAGGAUUAGAUACCCUGGUAGUCCACGCAGUAAACGAUGAUGGCUAACCGCUGGGCUUAUCAGUUCAGUGGCCAAGCGAAAGCGAUAAGCCAUCCACCUGGGGAGUACGACCGCAAGGUUGAAACUCAAAUGAAUUGACGGGG